This is a non-coding RNA of Salmo salar (Atlantic salmon), 1431 nucleotides long. The record is from RefSeq and is a predicted model, not a curated record. NCBI's taxonomy places the organism in Eukaryota, Metazoa, Chordata, Actinopteri, Salmoniformes, Salmonidae.
CGGAAGUGAUACACAGCGGUCUAAAUUAGCAUUUUGUGUACACACUAGUUCUUACUAAAGCUAUUGUAACUAGAUAUUUUAGUAAGAGCAUGGUGUGCAAUUGCAUCUUAUCGAUCACUGUAUGAUAAAUAGACGCAAUAUCUUGCACGAGACAGGGAGAGCUUGGUUAGCAAAUAAGCUACGGUAACGUAAUCUAGCUAGCCAGCCAGAUAAACAACCCUGCGUCAUCAGAUCAAUGCAUAUUUUGGGGAUGGAGUUGGUCUAACGUCUAGAAAACAAAGGGACGUGCCGAAAAUGGGUGCAUUUUACUGUGCGAUAUGUAGGCAAACAUCUUUCUCCGGAAAAGCACACAUCUUCGGGAAAAGUCAUCAGAGCAAACUCAAAGUCGUCCUUGUUAAAUUCCUUGAGAAGGUGAAAGAGGCGCGUCGAACGAUAAAAAAUCCCCAGGUGGAGAGGUUCGAUUGCACUCAGCACAAACGCAAAUGUUGGUGUUACUGCUGCGGCCUCCAGGUGGAGAGAGAUGUCACUGAUGGCGACAUCACUGUGUUGUUCGGGGGCUUGUUGGAACACAUGGCCAGGCCUGAACACAGGAAGGGCACCCACACAUUCUGGUGGGAGAACAAAGCUGACCCCAAACUGAGGGACAAGUUUAUAAUCACAGAAAAUGAAAUGGAGAGAUUUAAAACAGAGGUGGCAAAAGCUUUAGGCUCAUUUGAGGAGAAGGAGGAUGAGCUUAUCAAGCAGCAAGCCACUCAUAUCCGAGCUCAGGAACAGCAUCGCCAGGAGAUCCUUCAGUCUCUCAUAGAGCCUAAGGCAGAGCUGGAGCUAUCGAACACAGAGGGCCCUUGCAACUCAGUGGACGAGGCUUCCAGUAGCUCUCACUUCAGGGCCCCUGGAUCCGAUGAGCAGGCCAGGUCUGGUCGGGUCGACCAAAUGGUGGCCAGGCAGUGGGCGGGCCCUGGACAGGGCCUGACCUUCAUUGGCUACCAGGAUUCUUCCAACAGUGGAAAUGUUCACACAGGUUUUAAUGACUGUUGUAGGAGCCAUCCCUCCAUGGUUACAGGAGGACCCCCAGGAGGGCAGGUCUGGGACAAUGGAGCAGGAGAUCGGUCCAUCACUCCAGGACUUCCUCAAACAGAAGGAGCAGGAGAAGCUGAAGAAACUCCCCCCUAACCGGGUGGGGGCCAACUUUGACCAUAGCUCCCAGACCGAUGCCAACUGGCUGCCCUCUUUCGGCCGGGUGUGGAACAGCGGACGCCGCUGGCAAUCCAGGCACCAGUUCAGAGAGGAAGAGGGACAGACCAACAGACAAAAGAGAAAGAGGGAUCAGGGUGCUGAGGGAACAAAGAAACCCAAGCCGCCUGAACAACAGUGACUAUAGUAUGCAUUGUACAUAGAAAUGUUACAGAAUAAAGCAGUUAAAAAACAUGA